GUGCUCUAUUGUUGACAUAAAAGGAAGUAUCAAACUUCCACUACUUAUUGGCAAACUAAAUAGAAAUAUUAAAGGGGAAGUCCAAGACGCUUUAUUUUCUCCUUCAAAGUCAUUACUUCAUAGCCCAAACAAACAAACGGCUCUCUGAGCCAGCUACAGAUUUGCCCGAGGAUGAAAGUACAUCUCUUCCCAGAGCAAAAGCACAAGAGCUGGUGUGGAUUUUAAUGGUGCCCUGCAGUGCUGGGAUAGCCACCUUCCCACCCCUUCCAGCAUGCUUGUGGCGAUGUCUGGGCUGGCUGAUGUCUACUGCAACACUUCCUGUGGCUGCAGCAGGGUGGCACAGGUCUCCAGGUGUGAUGUUAGACACCAGGAUUCAGCUCGAAGCUCACCCCGGAAGCAGACCAGGCACCAUUGCAGAGCCUGCAGCCCUCACUGCAGAGAACAUGGCAGCUGCCCUUCCCAUGGCUGGUGUCUCCUGCUGCUUGGCACCCAACUCCAUAGGGGCAGCUCAGCUCAUACCAGACAUGCUGUUGCAUAGGCUGAAAUACCAAGAAGCCACCAUCUGCCAACAAGCUGCUGGCAAG
RNAcentral lists this long non-coding RNA (584 nucleotides) under Gallus gallus (chicken). RNAcentral's name for it is "lncRNA (ENSGALG00010006599.1)". The record is from RNAcentral. Lineage: Eukaryota; Metazoa; Chordata; Aves; Galliformes; Phasianidae.